GGGAUACCCAGAGGAAACUUUGGCUAAUACCGGAUAACAACAGAGAAGGCAUCUCUUUGCUUGAAAGGCCCUUCAAGGGUCACUUAAGGAUGGACCUGCGGCGCAUUAGCUAGUUGGUGAGAUAACAGCCCACCAAGGCGAGGAUGCGUAGCCGAACUGAGAGGUUGAUCGGCCACAUUGGAACUGAGACACGGUCCAAACUCCUACGGGAGGCAGCAGUAAGGAGUUUUCGGCAAUGGGGGAAACCCUGACCGAGCAACGCCGCGUGAGGCGAUGACGGCCCUAUGGGUUGUAAAGCUCUGUUGUAAGCCAUGAAUGAUAGCUUGAGGAAAUGCAAGCUAUUUGACGACAGCUUACCAGAAAGCCACGGCUAACUACGUGCCAGCCGCCGC
Molecule: ribosomal RNA, 392 nt
Filed under: uncultured bacterium
Lineage: Bacteria
Description: bacterial SSU rRNA
Rfam family: Bacterial small subunit ribosomal RNA
Source: RNAcentral